CCAUGAUUCUCAUAGAACCCAAACUGCCAGCUAAAGCACACAAGUAAUUGGCACACCUGAGCUUGGAUCAUGACCAGACUCUCUGCUUCCUGUAACUUGUAAAGCCAGUAAGUAAUCAUGAUAUUUAUUCACUUAAUUGGAUUCAAGAAGUGGAGUCCUGCCCAUGCUGUGAGGAAUUGGAAGUGCUGAUCUGAUGAAAUGCAUACUAUGUGUCUUGGAAAAAUUUAUCUUAUCAGCCACCACCAGAACUCCUCCUGGGGUGAUGAACUUGUGUUGCUUCUCUUGAGGCAGCAAGAACAGUCGACCACACUUAGAUCUGCCUGCUGCCAGGUUUGCCAUUCUAUUUACCCCGAACAACCAAGGAGGAACAUUCAAAAGCAGCAUGAUUUGAGGAGUCAGAUACUUCCUUUUCCUUAAUGUCAUGGUGGAAUAACUGAGGAGUUUUGCCAUGAAACCAGAAGUGGAAGUCUGAGCCUGACUCUGAACAUGAACCCAGCAGCAUUUGAGGUGACAGGUCUAUGUAUGAUUUCAUCAGGCUAAGCAAUCAAAAUGAUCUGAACCUAUUACUGUUCAUAAUACUCUCCUCAUUUUUUUAUGUCAUUAACUACCUAGCUGCAGAAAGACUUGUCGGAAAGAAUAUUUAGAUGCUUUUCUAGGCUGUACAGCUCUCUUAAAUGGGUGGGAAAAUUUGUUUGGCAUGCCUGCCAAAACUUUCCUGGCAUCAGCACUGCCUGGGACAGUGGAGGAUCUGACUGUAUGAGUUCAGGCUGGCACAGGAAAAGUGCUUUCAUUAUUGUAAGAUUAAGAUUUACUCACUUUCUAGCAUUUCACCAUUAUUUUUUUUUCAUCCAUCAGUGAAGACGUGCAUGCAUUAAAUUAACAUUUUUGCUUGCCAUUAAUACAUAAUUCAUGGGUAAGUAGUGGCUCUGAGUAUUCUCUUAUUUAUGAAUGUGUUGGCUAUGGUGAAGUUACUCCAGGUUUGAAGUUGUAUAAAAGGAGGCCCAAUGUAUAUAAACAUAUAUUAUUUAUUAGCACAUUAUCAGGAGUUAUUGCUUUUGCUUGCUUCGUGUCAAUAACAGUACUGUUUUGUAACUUGGAAAAGUAAUAAUCUUUUUGCUUUCAUUUCCUUUGACAGGAAAAGCAAAAUUAUUUCAGUGCCAUUUCACAUGACUAACACUUUCAGAAACACCAAACAAUGCAGUAAUCAUUUGGGAUGAGGAGAAAAUGCAGAAAACAAAACAUACAUGCUGCAGCUAAAUGUGAUAUAUAGAUUAUAUGCACAGAGAAUAAGAAAAAAAGACAUUAAAAAGCUAAUAAUAAUAAUGAUAAUAGUGUUUCUGUGUAAUGCUCUUCCAAAUUAAAUUGCUCUGAUCUGGUGUCUCUCAUGAAUCAUUGCAUCAGAAACUACCACAGCUAAAACAAGAUUCCUUUGCAGUCCUCAGUGUGAAUUAAAACAAUAAUUUGACCUUUUAUUCCUGAGCUCUACCAUCAGCAUUUUUCAAAGAAAAAUAAAGAUUUUAAUGUGAGAAGACAUCCCUGUGAUUUUCAAAUAAUAUUUAAAUUCUGUCUUGGACAAAUUCAAUAUAGAAUAUUAAAAAUAUAUCCUACAAAAACAGUGCUUCCAAUCAAUUUCAUUUGAAAUAAAAUCAUUCACUUAAUUUAACCUGAUAACAGUUAGAAAUUGAAAUGCUGAUGGUUAUCUAAUUAAAUGUUCAAAAUUAGGCUCUGAAAUUCUUUGUUUCUGAGUUAGGCUGAACUAUGUGUCCUGCACUUAUGUACUCCAUAGAGUGCAGGUAUUGAGUUUACUGAAACAUGUCCUGCAUCCUGCUGUUUCUAGGCCUGCCUGCUCUCAGGAAUGCACCACCACUGACAUAUCAUGGCAUUAAGACAUUUUACACAUGUAAGCCUAUUUGGUUUAAAAUAACAAUAGAGUACAGAUUUCACCAAAUAAUGCAGUGUUUUACCUUUGCAAAGCAUAAAGAAAUUGAAAUGCUCGUAAAUAUUCUUGGCUCAGCUACUUAAUCUUAUUACCAGGAAUGGAAUUUGUUGGAUUUUUUGAAAGAAAAAACAAAAAGUAAGAGUACUUUCCUUUGGCUUCAUAUUUUGGGGCGCAUUACUUAAACCGUACUUUUCUACAAAUAUUAAAAGAAACGUAUUGAAUUUAUACUGCCUUGUCUUAGUCUGUGUUUGUGCCCCUGGAGUGCCUCUUGCAGUUUGCAGACUUGAUUCUCAGUGACUUGAAAAUGCUGGAAAGCCUCUGCUCAUUCUGAAGGUAUUUGGGUCAGGCUGUGUGUUCCUGAUGGAGCGGGGCUUGGAAGCUUCCCUGUUAUCUCAGGGGUCAUUCAGCAAAACCUUCAUCUGUGGUUUUGGCCUGGAGUCAGAAAACUUUAUCAAAUAAGACUCCUGUAUGGAAUAAAAUCUUUGUUUCUUUUCAGGGAUCUAUAAGGCAGGCCUGCACCAGGCAGAGUUGGACGCUGCACUGACAGACAAAUAUUCAUCUCUCCUCAAUUAUGCUGUACCUAUGCUAAUUAAACAGCAAAUGUGAAUGACUAGAAAAACUUAUGGUGUUGAGUUACUGUACAGACAUAUUGAAUGGCAUGUUUUUCAAUUGCCAGAAAAUUAGGUUGCCAGUUUACAGCUGUCAUUCCUCUCAAACAGAUCUGAUGAAAGGGACAGAAAACUGUUUCAGCACACCUCGCAUCAGCACAGAAGGCACAGUCAGAGAUCGAUCCCACACAGUGAAAAUAAUCAAAAAGGUAGAAAACCCACAGUAAUUUAAAAUUAUGGAAUGUGAAAGUUUCUCACUGCUCUUCCAGUAAGGCAGCAGGCUGAACUGAUAAGAUGAAAUGCCAGAAGGUAAAAAUCUUUUUUUUUCUUACUAGGUUGCAGACAGCAUAAAACACUAAGCAGCCUAGGAGGUAUUCUGAAAUCCUCUUAAUUUACUGAUAUGCAUUAGUGUACCUGCAAAUUGUUUUGGUUUGGAUGUUAGAUAAUAAUGAAAAUGGAUUUGACCUGGUAAAUAAGAAAAAGCUAAUACAGAUAAGAUCACUUAUGUGACCUGUUGUCUCACAUAGCUGUUAUAUCAAACAAAUACAGAUCCAGUCUAAAACUGGCUCCAGUCUAAACAGAUCCGGUCUUAACCUUUGCUCUUUUUUCAGCUAAACAGUUCCAGGCACACCAGAAAAAUUUAUAAAAAGUUUCCAUGCUUUCAAUCAUGUGCAGAAUUUAUGCUGUGAGGUCCAACAAGCUCUUGGCUGAUUCUGGCUGUGUUUGGAGCUAAUAAGAAAGAGAUUUACCUGAGCUCAGUUCAGAAAGUUCAUCUCAGAUUUCUUUAAAUAGAUGAGAAACAACUGACUCCAAUGGGAGUGCAGGACAUCACCACACUGCAGCUUUCAUCCAGCUACAAUACUGGUCUGUGCCUCAAAAGAACUAUGUGACAUCUUUGAGAGUGUCUCAUCACUUUUCAUGAUCUCAUGAAAUAAACAUUGACUGACCAGACAGUGUUUGAUGAAUGUCAGUUUCUGGCAAACUUUCACAAUUUUUUUGUUUUCCUCGGAGCAGAGAGGAAACAACAAUUCAAACAGCUGUUGCUGCCCUCAGACCAGUGCCCACUCCUCUCCUUGAGUGUGGCUUAACUCAGCUGUUGCUGUUUAAGUCCCUGCUGACAAGGGAAGGGAUCUGCAGGCACAACUCCCUGUAAUCACCAGAAAUACUAAAGAAAUUCAAAACUGGCCUCUGUCGCUGCUAGCAUUGGAGCUCAGACUGUUUUGAAUUGUGACUUUUCAU
This is a long non-coding RNA of Haemorhous mexicanus (house finch), 3786 nucleotides long. RefSeq lists it as uncharacterized. The record is from RefSeq and is a predicted model, not a curated record. The transcript is spliced from 3 exons. Lineage: Eukaryota; Metazoa; Chordata; Aves; Passeriformes; Fringillidae.